RNAcentral lists this ribosomal RNA (497 nucleotides) under uncultured bacterium. RNAcentral describes it as "partial 16S ribosomal RNA". It matches the Rfam family "Bacterial small subunit ribosomal RNA", at positions 28 to 507 of the family's 1533-position model. The record is from RNAcentral.
GAUGAACGCUGGCGGCGUGCCUAAUACAUGCAAGUCGAGCGAACGGACGAGAAGCUUGCUUCUCUGAUGUUAGCGGCGGACGGGUGAGUAACACGUGGAUAACCUACCUAUAAGACUGGGAUAACUUCGGGAAACCGUAGCUAAUACCGGAUAAUAUUUUGAACCGCAUGGUUCAAAAGUGAAAGACGGUCUUGCUGUCACUUAUAGAUGGAUCCGCGCUGCAUUAGCUAGUUGGUAAGGUAAAGGCUUACCAAGGCAACGAUGCAUAGCCGACCUGAGAGGGUGAUCGGCCACACUGGAACUGAGCCACGGUCCAGACUCCUACGGGAGGCAGCAGUAGGGAAUCUUCCGCAAUGGGCGAAAGCCUGACGGAGCAACGCCGCGUGAGUGAUGAAGGUCUUCGGAUCGUAAAACUCUGUUAUUAGGGAAGAACAUAUGUGUAAGUAACUGUGCACAUCUUGACGGUACCUAAUCAGAAAGCCACGGCUAACUACGUG